RNAcentral lists this ribosomal RNA (354 nucleotides) under uncultured bacterium. Its description in RNAcentral is "SSU rRNA". It matches the Rfam family "Bacterial small subunit ribosomal RNA", at positions 538 to 890 of the family's 1533-position model. The record is from RNAcentral.
GCGUUGUCCGGAAUUAUUGGGCGUAAAGCGCGCGCAGGCGGCUUCUUAUAGUCUGAUGUGAAAUCUUGCGGCUCAACCGCAAGCGGUCAUUGGAAACUGGGAGGCUUGAGUGCAGAAGAGGAGAGUGGAAUUCCACGUGUAGCGGUGAAAUGCGUAGAGAUGUGGAGGAACACCAGUGGCGAAGGCGGCUCUCUGGUCUGUAACUGACGCUGAGGCGCGAAAGCGUGGGGAGCAAACAGGAUUAGAUACCCUGGUAGUCCACGCCGUAAACGAUGUCGACUAGCCGUUGGCCUCCAUUGAGGGGUUAGUGGCGCAGUAACGCGAUAAGUCGACCGCCUGGGGAGUACGGCCGCA